GACGUAGGGCGCGAGCGUUGUCCGGAUUUAUUGGGCGUAAAGAGCUCGUAGGCGGUUCGUCGCGUCGGCUGUGAAAACCUGAGGCUCAACCUCAGGCCUGCAGUCGAUACGGGCGGACUUGAGUACUGCAGGGGAGACUGGAAUUCCUGGUGUAGCGGUGAAAUGCGCAGAUAUCAGGAGGAACACCAAUGCGAAGGCAGCUCGCUGGAACGUUACUGACGCUGAGACGCGAAAGCGUGGGGAGCAAACAGG
RNAcentral lists this ribosomal RNA (252 nucleotides) under uncultured bacterium. Its description in RNAcentral is "partial 16S ribosomal RNA". It matches the Rfam family "Bacterial small subunit ribosomal RNA", at positions 524 to 776 of the family's 1533-position model. The record is from RNAcentral.